Molecule: ribosomal RNA, 249 nt
Filed under: uncultured Eubacteriales bacterium
Lineage: Bacteria; Bacillati; Bacillota; Clostridia; Eubacteriales
Description: uncultured Clostridiales bacterium partial 16S ribosomal RNA
Rfam family: Bacterial small subunit ribosomal RNA
Source: RNAcentral
AAGUGGAUUAGCGGCGGACGGGUGAGUAACACGUGAGUAACCUGCCUUAGACAUUGGGAUAGCCUCGGGAAACCGGGAUUAAUACCAAAUAAAAUCAUAAUGACACAUGUCAUAACGAUCAAAACUCCGGUGGUCUAAGAUGGACUAGCGUCCCAUUAGCUAGUUGGUAGAGUAAAAGCCUACCAAGGCGACGAUGGGUAGCCGGCCUGAGAGGGUGAACGGCCACAUUGGAACUGAGAAACGGUCCAA